This 4497-nucleotide long non-coding RNA is filed under the name Homo sapiens (human). RNAcentral's name for it is "HSALNT0216279". The record is from RNAcentral. Lineage: Eukaryota; Metazoa; Chordata; Mammalia; Primates; Hominidae.
AUUGUUCUUUACAUCCAUUUUAUUUCCCAAUCUGCCCCCGACAUCUGGCGCAAACUUAAAAAGGCUGAAGAUGCCCCUCAGACCCCACAACGAGACCUCCUUAACUUGGCUUUCAAAGUCUUUAAUAACAGGGAUGAGCAAAAUAAAUUAGAUAAAGCCCAAAGAGAUCGUGCUAAAUACCAGCUUCUAGCAGCGGCUGUCCAUCAACCCAGCCGUAUCACCCAAGGGCACAAAAGACCCGAUAGCAGCAACCCUCCGGGCCUUGUUUUAAGUGUGGCAAAGAAGGCCACUGGGCAUGGGUGUAUCCUAACCCUUGAGUGCCAAAGAGUCCUUGUCCAGUGUGCCAGCAGACAGGCCACUGGAAGUCCGACUGUCCUCUCAACAGACAGACAAGCCUGCUCCUCAGAGCCACCACCCCUUUAACAAGACAAAAAGUGAAGAACCGCUUGCAUUCCCGCAGCUCCUCAGCCUAGCCGCUGAGGACUGACCGGGCCCAGGGCCCCCGGCCCCAUCUGCCAUCACUGCAUUGGAGCCCAGGGUAACUCUGCGAGUAGCAGGGACGCGCGUGACAUUUGGUGCCGAAACCCGGGACAGGAGGACUCCUUCGGGAGACCAGUCCCCUGUCCUUGCCCUCACUCCGUGAGGAGAUCUACCUACAACCUCGGGUCCUCAGACCAACCAGCCCAAGGAACAUCUCACCAAUUUCAAAUCAGGACCCCACUGGAAAUCGGACUGUCCAACUCGCCCAGCAGCCACUCCCAGAGUCCCUGGAACUCUGGCCCAAGGCUCUCUGACUGACUCCUUCCCAGAUCUUCUUGGCUUUAGCGGCUGAAGACUAAUGCUACCUGAUUGCCUCGGAAGCCUCCUGGACCAUCACAGACGCUUUGGGUAACUCUUACAGUGGAGGGUAAGUCCAUCCCCUUCUUAAUCAAUACGGAGCUUACCCACUCCACAUUACCUUCUUUUCCCUUGCCUCCACAAUUGUGGGUAUUGACGGCCAGGCUUCUAAACCUUUUAAAACUCCCCAACUCUGGUGCCAACUUGGACAACAUUCUUCUGUGCACUCCUUUUUAGUUAUCCUCACCUGCCCAGCUCCCUUAUUAGGUGGAGACAUUUUAACUAAAUUAUCUGCUUCCCUGACUAUUCCUAGACUAUAGCCACACCUCAUUGCUGCCCUUUUCCUCAGUUCAAAGCCUCCUUCACAUCUUCCCCUUGUAUCUCCCCACCUUAAUCCACAAGUAUGGGACACCUCUACUCUCCCCUGGCAACUGAUCACACACCCCUUACUAUCCCAUUAAAACCUAAUCACCCUUAACCCACUCAACGCCAAUAUCCCAUCCCACAGUACACUUUAAAAGGAUUAAAGCCUGUUAUCACUCACCUGUUACAGCAUGGCCUUUUAAAGCCUAUAAACUCUCCUUACAAUUCCCCCAUUUUCCCUGUCCAAAAACCGGACAAGUCUUACAAGUUAGUUCAGGAUCUGCAUCUUAUCAACCAAAUUGUUUUGCCUAUCCACCCUGUAGUGCUAAACCCAUAUACUCUCCUAUCCUCAAUACCUCCCUCCACAACCCCUCCACAACCCAUUAUUCUGUUCUGGGUCUCAAACAUGCUUUCUUUACUAUUCCUUUGCACGCUUCAUCCCAGCCACUCUUUGCUUUCACUUGGACUGACCCUGACACCCAUCAGGCUCAGCAAAUUACCUGGGCUGUACUGCUGCAAGGCUUCAUGGACAGCCCCCAUUACUUCAGUCAAACCCAAAUUUCUUCCUCAUCUGUUACCUAUCUUGGCAUAAUUCUUCAUCAAAACACACAUGCCCUCCCUGCUAAUCAUGUCUGGCUAAUCUCCCAAACCCCAACCCCUUCUACAAAACAACUCCUUUCCUUCCUGGGCAUGGUUAAAUACUUUCACCUUUAAAUACCUGGUUUUGCCAUCCUAACAAAACCAUUACAUAAACACAAAAGAAAACCUAGCUGACCACAUAGAUCCUAAAUCCUUUCCCCAUUCCUCUUUCCGUUCCUUAAAAACAGCCCUGGAAGCUGCUCCCACACUAGCUCUCCCUAACUCAUCCCAACCCUUUUUCAUUACACAGAGCCAAAGUGCAGGGCUGUGCAGUUGAAAUUCUUACACAAGAGCCGGGACCGUGCCCUGUAUCCUUUUUGUCCAAACAACUUGAUCUUACUGUUUUAGGCUGGCCAUCAUGUCUCUGUGUGGCAGCUGCCGUCACCCUAACACUUUUAGAGGCCCUCAAAAUCACAAACUAUGCUCAACUCACUCUCUACAGCCCUCAUAACUUCCAAAAUCUAUUUUCUUCCUCACACCUGAUGCAUAUACUUUCUGCUCCCUGGCUCCUUCAGCUGUACUCACUCUUUGUUGAGUCUCCCACAAUUACCAGUGUUCCUGGCCCAGACUUCAAUCCGGCCUCCCACAUUAUUCCAGAUACCACACCUGACCCCCAUGACUGUAUCUCUCUGAUCCACCUGACAUUCACUCCAUUUCCCCAUAUUUCCUUCUUUCCUGUUCCUCACCCUGAUCACACUUGGUUUAUCCAUGGCAGUUCCACCAGGCCUAAUCACCGCUUACCAGCAAAGGCAGGCUAUGCUAUAGUAUCUUCCACAUCUAUCAUUGAGGCUACUGCUCUGCCCCCUCCACUACCUCUCAGCAAGCCAAACUCAUUGCUUUAACUCAAGCCCUCACUCUUGCAAAGGAACUACGCAUCAAUAUUUAUACUGACUCUAAACAUGCCUUCCAUAUCCUGCCCCACCAUGCUGUUAUAUGGGCUGAAAGAGGUUUCCUCACUACACAAGGGUCCUCCAUCAUUAAUGCCUCUUUAAUAAAAAUACUUCUCAAGGUCGCUUUACUUCCAAAGGAAGCUGGAGUCAUUCACUGCAAGGGCCAUCAAAAGGCAUCAGACCCCACUGCUCGGGGCAACGCUUAUGCUGAUAAGGUAGCUAAAGAAGCAGCUAGCAUUCCAACUUCUAUCCCUCAUGGCAGUUUUUCUCCUUCUCAUCGGUCACUCCCACCUACUCCACCACUGAAACUUCCACCUAUCAAUCUCUUCCCACACAAGGCAAAUAGUUCUUGGACUAAGGAACAUAUCUCCUUCCAGCCUCACAGGCCCAUUCUAUUCUGUCGUCAUUUCAUAACCUCUUCCACGUAGAUUACAAGCUGCUAGUCUGCCUCUUAGAACCUCUCAUUUCCUUUCCAUCAUGGAAAUCUAUCCUCAAGGAAAUCACUUCUCAGUGUUCCAUCUGCUAUUCUACUACUCCUCAGGGAUUGUUCAGGCCCCCUCCCUUCCCUACACAUCAAGCUCGGGGAUUUGCCCCUGCCCAGGACUGGCAAAUUGACUUUACUCACAUGCCCUGAGUCAGGAAACUAAAAUACGUCUCGGUCUAGAUAGACACUUUCACUGGAUGGGUAGAGGCCUUUCCCACAAGGUCAAAAAAAGGCCACCGUGGUCAUUUCUUCCCUUCUGUCAGACAUAAUUCCUCGGUUUGGCCUUCCCACCUCUAUACGGUCCAAUAACGGACUGGCCUUUAUUAGUCAAAUCACCCAAGCAGUUUCUCAGGCUCUUGGUAUUCAGUGGAACCUUCAUACCGCUUACCAUCCUCAAUCUUCAGGAAAGGUAGAAUGGAACAGACUAAUGGUCUUUUAAAAACACACCUCACCAAACUCAGCCUCCAACUUAAAAAGGAGGGCUCUGUCAAGGAUAGAGCCCAAAAACUCACCAACCAAGCAAGUAAUUACGCUGAACCCCCUUGGGCACUCCCUAAUUGGAAGUCCUGGGUCCUCCCAAUUCUUAGUCCUUUAAUACCUGUUUUUCUCCUUCUCUUAUUUGGACCUUGUGUCUUCCGUUUAGCUCUCAAUUCAUAAAAAAACACAUCCAGGCCAUCACCAAUCAUUCUAUAUGACAAAUGCUCCUUCUAAGAACCCCACAAUACCACCCAUUACCCCAAAAUCUUCCUUCAGCUGAAUCUCUCCCACUCCAGGUUCCCACGCCACCCCUAAUCCCACUCGAAGCAGCCCUGAGAAACAUCGCCCAUUAUCUCUUCAUACCACCCCCCCAAAAAUUUUCACUGCCCCAACACUUCAAUACUAUUUUAUGUUAUUUUUCUUAUUAAUAUAAGAAGACAGGAAUGUCAGGCCUCUAAGCCCAAGCCUGCACAUAUACAUCCAGAUGGCCUGAAGCAAGUGAAGAAUCACAAAAGAAGUGAAAAUGGCCGGUCCCUGCCUUAACUGAUAUUUCCUUGUGAAAUUCCUUUUCUCAGAAGCUCCCCAACUGAGCACCUUGUGACCCCCUCCGCCUGCCCCUGCCCACCGGAGAACAACCCCCUUUGACUGUAAUUUUCCACUACCUACCCAAAUCCUCUACAACGGCCCCACCCCUAUCUCCCUUCGAUGAUUCUCUUUUCGGACUCAGCCCGCCUGCACCCAGGUGAAAUAAAUAGCCUUGUUGCUCACACAAAGCCUGUUUGGUGGUCUUUUCACAUGGACGUGUGU